RNAcentral lists this long non-coding RNA (691 nucleotides) under Spirodela polyrhiza (greater duckweed). Its description in RNAcentral is "long non-coding RNA (SPOL_LNC000637)". Lineage: Eukaryota; Viridiplantae; Streptophyta; Magnoliopsida; Alismatales; Araceae. The record is from RNAcentral.
UCCUCUCGAACGAGUCAACGGCUCUCUCGCCGCUAGCACCGUCUUCUCCAGCGAGCAGCGAGCACGGCGGCUGCCACAGAUGUAGCACGCCCCCGACCAUACCUUGAUCAACCAUCAUGAAGCCGCUCUAAGCGAAGGAAGGAGCAACGAAGAAGGCGACGAUUCCGCCCAUGAUUCAGUGACUUGCCGUCCUUGGCACAGCAGCAACGUCCUGAAAUGGAAGGAUUCGCUUAUUACUAAGUUAAUCAAGCCUAAGAUUUUGUUGUCCCGUUAAAGAGAGGCCUAUAAAUCGGCCUUUAGAUCUUCGAUUUGGGGAGAGUUAGAAAUGGGGUUUUGAGGAUUAGUUCCUCACCUUACCUGAUCGAAAGAUCCCGUCGCCCCGGCUUGGGUUGGCCGGAGGACCCCGCUACUCUUGGUCUGGAGCACCCUUCCCCCCUCCCUUCCCUUUCUUCCUUCUAUCGCCGCCAGCCACCACUGCCCGCACCACCAUCACCUGCCGCCGCUGCUUCCAUCGCCCUCCCCUCAACCGCCACUGCCUGCCCAUCGCCCUGUCCACUGCCAACAAUCCCCUCCAGCAGCCACCGCCUGCACCGCCUGCCUCGCCACCACCCAGCCGCCGACCUUCGCCCUCACCACCCGCCGGCGCUGCCUCCACCCUCUUCCCUCUCUCCGCCGCCGAAUGUCAUUCCCC